GCUGGGUACGGUGCCGAAUGCCUGUAAUCCCAGUGGCUUGGGAGGCUGAGACAGGAGGAUCACAAGUUCAAAGCCAGCCUCAGCAAAAGCAAGACACCAAGCAACUCAGUGAGAACCUAUUUCUA
This 125-nucleotide small RNA is filed under the name Marmota monax (woodchuck). The record is from RNAcentral. Lineage: Eukaryota; Metazoa; Chordata; Mammalia; Rodentia; Sciuridae.